UACGGAGGGUGCAAGCGUUAAUCGGAAUUACUGGGCGUAAAGCGCACGCAGGCGGUUUUUUAAGUCAGAUGUGAAAUCCCCGGGCUCAACCUGGGAACUGCAAUUGAUACUGGGAAGCUUGAGUCCCGGAGAGGGGGGUUGAAUUCCGGGUGUAGCGGUGAAAUGCGUAGAGAUCUGGAGGAAUACCGGUGGCGAAGGCGGCCCCCUGGACGAAGACUGACGCUCAGGUGCGAAAGCGUGGGGAGCAAACAGG
Molecule: ribosomal RNA, 253 nt
Filed under: uncultured bacterium
Lineage: Bacteria
Description: partial 16S ribosomal RNA
Rfam family: Bacterial small subunit ribosomal RNA
Source: RNAcentral